GAUGAACGCUGGCGGCGUGCCUAAUACAUGCAAGUCGAGCGAACAGACGAGGAGCUUGCUCCUCUGACGUUAGCGGCGGACGGGUGAGUAACACGUGGAUAACCUACCUAUAAGACUGGGAUAACUUCGGGAAACCGGAGCUAAUACCGUAUAACAUGUUGAACCGCAUGGUUCAACAGUGAAAGACGGUCUUGCUGUCACUUAUAGAUGGAUCCGCGCCGCAUUAGCUAGUUGGUAAGGUAACGGCUUACCAAGGCAACGAUGCGUAGCCGACCUGAGAGGGUGAUCGGCCACACUGGGACUGAGACACGGUCCAGACUCCUACGGGAGGCAGCAGUAGGGAAUCUUCCGCAAUGGGCGAAAGCCUGACGGAGCAACGCCGCGUGAGUGAAGAAGGUCUUCGGAUCGUAAAACUCUGUUAUUAGGGAAGAACAAAUGUGUAAGUAACUAUGCACGUCUUGACGGUACCUAAUCAGAAAGCCACGGCUAACUACGUG
This 497-nucleotide ribosomal RNA is filed under the name uncultured bacterium. Its description in RNAcentral is "partial 16S ribosomal RNA". It matches the Rfam family "Bacterial small subunit ribosomal RNA", at positions 28 to 507 of the family's 1533-position model. The record is from RNAcentral.